RNAcentral lists this ribosomal RNA (468 nucleotides) under uncultured bacterium. RNAcentral describes it as "partial 16S ribosomal RNA". It matches the Rfam family "Bacterial small subunit ribosomal RNA", at positions 28 to 507 of the family's 1533-position model. The record is from RNAcentral.
GAUGAACGCUGGCGGCGUGCUUAACACAUGCAAGUCGAACGGAAAGGCCCAAGCUUGCUUGGGUACUCGAGUGGCGAACGGGUGAGUAACACGUGGGUGAUCUGCCCUGCACUUCGGGAUAAGCCUGGGAAACUGGGUCUAAUACCGGAUAGGACGAUGGUUUGGGUGCCAUUGUGGAAAGUUUUUUCGGUGUGGGAUGAGCUCGCGGCCUAUCAGCUUGUUGGUGGGGUAAUGGCCUACCAAGGCGUCGACGGGUAGCCGGCCUGAGAGGGUGUACGGCCACAUUGGGACUGAGAUACGGCCCAGACUCCUACGGGAGGCAGCAGUGGGGAAUAUUGCACAAUGGGCGCAAGCCUGAUGCAGCGACGCCGCGUGGGGGAUGACGGCCUUCGGGUUGUAAACUCCUUUCGCUAGGGACGAAGCGUUUUUGUGACGGUACCUGGAGAAGAAGCACCGGCUAACUACGUG